CAUGCAUGUAUCAGUACACGCCUUAACAAGGUGAAACCGCGAACGGCUCAUUACAACAGCUAUAAUCUACUCGAUCUUGACCCAUUACUAGGAUAACUGUGGUAAUUCUAGAGCUAAUACUUGCACCGAAGCUGUUCCCUCACGGGGGCAGUGCAUUUAUUGGAGCAAAACCAGGCGGCUUCGGCCGUUUCUGCUGACUCAGAAUAACUAAGCUGACCGAAUGGGCUUGUCCCGUCGGCGUAUCGUUCGAGUGUCUGCCUUAUCAACUUUCGAUGGUAGUGUACGUGACUACCAUGGUUGUGACGGGUAACGGAGGAUAAGGGUUCGACUCCGGAGAAGGGGCCUGAGAAAUGGCCACUACGUCUAAGGAUGGCAGCAGGCGCGCAAAUUACCCACUCUCGGUUCGAGGAGGUAGUGACGAAAAAUAACAAGGCCGUUCUCUACGAGGCCGGCCAUUGGAAUGGGUACAACUCAAACCCUUUAACGAGUAUCAAUGAGAGGGCAAGUCUGGUGCCAGCAGCCGCGGUAAUUCCAGCUCUCAAAAUGCAUAGAACCAUUGCUGCGGUUAAAAAGCUCGUAGUUGGAUUUGUGCCGGCGCCGUGGUCCACCCUAGCGGGCGGUACUGCGAGCGUCGGCUUUGGGCCGGUCUCCGGGCGGCGCACUUCACUGGGUGUCGUCCGUGGCUGGCUGGUUUACUUUGAGCAAAUCAGAGUGCUCAGCACAGGCGUCUCGCCGGAAUGUUCGUGCAUGGAAUAAUAGAACAGGAUCACGGUCCUCUUUUAUUGGUUUUGUGGACUGAGAUAAUGGUUAACAGAGACGAACGGGGGCAUUCGUAUUGCUGCGUGAGAGGUGAAAUUCUUGGACCGCAGCAGGACGGACUACAGCGAAAGCAUUUGCCAAGCGCGUCUUCAUUAAUCAAGAACGAAAGUCAGAGGUUCGAAGGCGAUCAGAUACCGCCCUAGUUCUGACCGUAAACGAUGCCAACUAGCGAUCCGUCGGUGGCUCCAAGGCCCUGAUGGGGAGCUUCCCGGAAACGAAAGUCUUCCGGUUCCGGGGGAAGUAUGGUUGCAAAGCUGAAACUUAAAGGAAUUGACGGAAGGGCACCACCAGGAGUGGAGCCUGCGGCUUAAUUUGACUCAACACGGGAAAACUCACCCGGCCCGGACACCGUGAGGAUUGACAGAUUGAUAGCUUUUUCAUGAUUCGGUGGUUGGUGGUGCAUGGCCGUUCUUAGUUCGUGGAUCGAUUUGUCUGGUUUAUUCCGAUAACGAGCGAGACUCCAGCCUACUAACUAGUGCGGGAAUUGCCACUGUUCCCUUGCACUUCUUAGAGGGAUUGGCUGCGUCUAGCGGCACGAAACGGAGCAAUAACAGGUCUGUGAUGCCCUUAGAUGUCCGGGGCUGCACGCGCGCUACACUGGCAAAGGCAGCGUGCUUGUCCGUCUCCGAAAGGAGUCGGUAAACCCUUGAAAAUUUGCCGUGAUUGGGAUCGGAAAUUGCAAUUAUUUUCCGUGAACGAGGAAUUCCUAGUAAGUGCGAGUCAUCAGCUCGCGUUGAUUACGUCCCUGCCCUUUGUACACACCGCCCGUCGCUGCCUAGAACUGAGCCAUUUCGAGAAUAUUCGGGAUCGCUGGUUGCGCGCUCUUCGGGGCGUGCCUCCGGCCGGAGAACGAACGUAAUCGCAGUGGCUUGAACCGGGCAAAAGUCGUACCAAAGGUAGCACG
RNAcentral lists this ribosomal RNA (1723 nucleotides) under Discocriconemella parasinensis. RNAcentral's name for it is "SSU rRNA". It matches the Rfam family "Eukaryotic small subunit ribosomal RNA". Lineage: Eukaryota; Metazoa; Nematoda; Chromadorea; Rhabditida; Criconematidae. The record is from RNAcentral.